CAACUUUUAACAAUGGAUCUCUUGGCUUUUGCAUCGAUGAAAAACGUAGCAAAUUGCGAUAACUAGUGUGAAUUGCAAAUUCAGUGAAUCAUCGAGUCUUUGAACGCAUCUU
RNAcentral lists this ribosomal RNA (112 nucleotides) under Gilbertella persicaria. RNAcentral's name for it is "5.8S ribosomal RNA". It matches the Rfam family "5.8S ribosomal RNA", at positions 1 to 112 of the family's 154-position model. From Rfam's summary of the family: 5.8S ribosomal RNA (5.8S rRNA) is a component of the large subunit of the eukaryotic ribosome. The record is from RNAcentral. Lineage: Eukaryota; Fungi; Mucoromycota; Mucoromycetes; Mucorales; Choanephoraceae.